UUUGAAACACCGUUUACCGUACGACCACUGAAGUUAAGCAACGUCGAUCCUGCUCAGUACCUAGAUGGGUGAUCGCUUGAGAAUACCAGAUG
Molecule: non-coding RNA, 92 nt
Organism: Acanthosepion pharaonis
Lineage: Eukaryota; Metazoa; Mollusca; Cephalopoda; Sepiida; Sepiidae
Source: the annotation of a GenBank genome assembly